RNAcentral lists this ribosomal RNA (253 nucleotides) under uncultured bacterium. RNAcentral describes it as "partial 16S ribosomal RNA". It matches the Rfam family "Bacterial small subunit ribosomal RNA", at positions 524 to 776 of the family's 1533-position model. The record is from RNAcentral.
CACGUAGGGGGCGAGCGUUGUCCGGAUUUAUUGGGCGUAAAGAGCUCGUAGGCGGCUUGUCACGUCGGAUGUGAAAGCCCGAGGCUUAACCUCGGGUCUGCAUUCGAUACGGGCUAGCUAGAGUGUGGUAGGGGAGAUCGGAAUUCCUGGUGUAGCGGUGAAAUGCGCAGAUAUCAGGAGGAACACCGGUGGCGAAGGCGGAUCUCUGGGCCAUUACUGACGCUGAGGAGCGAAAGCGUGGGGAGCGAACAGG